CUUAUAUCUGAUGGCAAGUUGCCAACAUAAAUUGUCCGAGAAAAGCGGCCACUCAUUUCUGCUACCACAGGAAUAUAGCAAAGCUUUCACGAAAGAGCUGAGAGCAAGAGUAGAGAAACGGACUGGUGUGGAGCGAGCAAUCCAGUCCACAGGCUUCGUUCAGCGAACCGAGCAGCUUGCGUUGAUGCAGCUUCAGGAGGGUCUAGGGUUUCUUUUCGUGGCUUCUGUCAAG
RNAcentral lists this unclassified non-coding RNA (232 nucleotides) under Hevea brasiliensis (rubber tree). The record is from RNAcentral. Lineage: Eukaryota; Viridiplantae; Streptophyta; Magnoliopsida; Malpighiales; Euphorbiaceae.